Molecule: long non-coding RNA, 81 nt
Filed under: Fukomys damarensis (Damara mole-rat)
Lineage: Eukaryota; Metazoa; Chordata; Mammalia; Rodentia; Bathyergidae
Description: lncRNA (ENSFDAG00000032628.1)
Source: RNAcentral
AUUCUUUCCUCUCUACUUGAUUGUCUUACUGGUUUGCUGUACCACUGGGGCUGGGUUAUCCUUUCAUAAGCUGAGGCCCAC